GCAUUAUAAAACCUCAAGUUUACUGGGGCUUGCAUAUGAAGAGGGAUAAGGAGAGUCGAACAUACAAAUGAUAAUCCCAUGUCUUCAUUUUGUUGAAUCUCAGCUUUUAUGCAGGCUUGCUUCUUAGAAAGGAUCAUAAAAUUUCGUCCUACUCCUUAAAAGAGGGAACUCUGAAUUGAGCAGAGAUUUGGUCCUUUCAGAAAUCCAUUACGUAGCUUAAGGAGAUCACGACCAGCAAGUAAAAACUCUUCCUCACAUUUGUUACUACAGAUAUCAGAGAUACGCAAUUGUUUAAAGAAAUCAAGUAAUGUCAUGCAAUUAUAAUUAUUAUUGGAAGUCUAUCACCCACCCACCCCCCUUGAAUGCUUCCUCAAUCUUCUAUCUACUACAUCAUCUUGGUUUGCUCACUCUUGGACUUCUUCUUCUGCAAUUAUCGAUAAUUUUCGAAAUAUAUUCAAUCCAAUGUAA
Long non-coding RNA from Papaver somniferum (opium poppy), 468 nucleotides. RefSeq lists it as uncharacterized. The record is from RefSeq and is a predicted model, not a curated record. NCBI's taxonomy places the organism in Eukaryota, Viridiplantae, Streptophyta, Magnoliopsida, Ranunculales, Papaveraceae. The transcript has 3 exons.